Molecule: transfer RNA, 73 nt
Filed under: Thermoplasmatales archaeon SW_10_69_26
Lineage: Archaea; Methanobacteriati; Thermoplasmatota; Thermoplasmata; Thermoplasmatales
Description: tRNA-Val
Rfam family: tRNA
About the family: Transfer RNA (tRNA) molecules are approximately 80 nucleotides in length. Their secondary structure includes four short double-helical elements and three loops (D, anti-codon, and T loops). Further hydrogen bonds mediate the characteristic L-shaped molecular structure. tRNAs have two regions of fundamental functional importance: the anti-codon, which is responsible for specific mRNA codon recognition, and the 3' end, to which the tRNAs corresponding amino acid is attached (by aminoacyl-tRNA synthetases). tRNAs cope with the degeneracy of the genetic code in two manners: having more than one tRNA (with a specific anti-codon) for a particular amino acid; and 'wobble' base-pairing, i.e. permitting non-standard base-pairing at the 3rd anti-codon position.
Source: RNAcentral
GGGCCCGUGGUCUAGUGGUUAUGACGUCGCCUUCACACGGCGAAGUUCGCCUGUUCGAAUCAGGCCGGGCCCA